ACGCCAAAUUUAGAAUAAAAAUCCCUUAAUUUCCAAAAAAGUUUUUACGCUCGAUUGAGUUGUUUUUUGACUUGUGCGAAAAUGGUUAAUGCGAAUAAUGGGAGAUGGAAAUGCAUUUUGCGAAUAAAUUCCUCCAAGCGCAUCAAAAUAGUCAUGUGAGCUAUGAGACGGGAUAACUUGACUAGCAGCGGACUGAUCUCGUUCCACAGCAUCUGAAAUGUUGUUGGUCGUUCUGAAAUGCCUGAGAAAAGUCUGUCAUCAAAGUAUUUCUGUAUAAUUGUCUUACACGACUGUGUUCCCAAACAGCAGCAUUCACCUCCGAAAGCAAUGACAGCAUUUAUUGUGUUUCGUCUGCUCGCUCUGAGGCGCAAUUAAUUUUUCGUACAUGAAAAUUAUUAUAUUCAGUAGCUUGUCCUAGUUUUCUAUAGGCUAUUUAGUGCCAGUUUACCAGGAAGUAAUGAUUUUGUUCUCUUUGACUCGUUGGAUGGAAACGGUGCUCGCUCGCAAAUGUUUUAUGCGAUAUUCCAAAUUUGCGCAUAAGUUAAAUUCGCAACUUUGGAUGGAAACCCGGAGACGAGAGCAUCGAACUGACGAGAUAUGGAUGAGUCGACUCUCCUGAGGUAAAAGUAGUCACGUGACUUGUUGUUUACCAGUUGUUAAAUAUCAAGUCUUUCAACGGUUGAAACACGCGUUUUGGCGAUUACACGAGAGAUUAUAUUUCCGUAAAUUGUGCUCGAUCUUUUAAUAUACUUGCUGAUGUUCAUUUAUAAUUAUGUCAUGCUACAUUUAGGCUACUAGUAAAGAGGGAGAGAUGAUCGGUACAUAGAGCGAUCUAUCUCGCCACAUUAAAGAGCGGCAAAACGAUACUUAUUUUUGAAAUUUCGUAAUAAAAUUGACGUAGUUUGGAAGCUAAGACUUUGUUUUAACAAAUAAAUAAAUAAAUAACAUAAAACAUGUUUUGAGGAAUUAAUAGCCUAAUAGCAGCCUUUGCUGUUAGUUCUGUGCUGGUUUUGUCGAUGUAAUUUGAAAGGUCAGUGUAUUUCUGGUUGGCUCACUUUAAACUUUUAGUAAAUAUUGCAGGAGUAUGAAUUUUAUAACCCAACAAUAGCACCAUGGACAUUUUCAUUAAAGACAAAACUGAAUGAACAAGAUUUGUCAGCAAUAAGAGGAAUUAGAUGAAGUUUUCUUUUUUUACUAUGUUAAACUGUUUGGAUCAGUAACAGCGAGCUGUGAGAUUGUGGUCUCUCACAGCUGAGAUGGGCUGACGUGCCGGAUAUGUUGAUAUUCCCUGCUCCAUCGCCCCGUCCUGCAGUCGGGGCUGUUUGAGAUGGAUCUAGGCCAGUGACACGGGGCUCUUGAGAAAAAGACUCCAGUCACUGAGCUCUGGGUUAUUACAGCUGUCAGUGUGCACUUUACUACCUUCAGUUAUAGAGAAAGAUCUUGAUUCGAUUUAUAUUUAAUAUUGGGCAAAUAAGAAAAAAACUGUAUAAAUCAAUUUUUUGCAGACAUAGACCGAAGUUGGAGCAAGUUGUACUUUGGUUGGACAAGCUGUACUACCAGAAAAAAAUUUGGGCACACAAAAAAAUGUUUUUAAACUGCUUCAUUCAUAGAAGAAUGCCAUAGAAGAACCAUUUUUGGUUCCACAAAAAAAACAUCUCUUCCUUACCUUUUUAUAAUCUGAAGAACCUUCUUUCACCACAAAGAACCUUUUGUGAAACAGAAAGGUUCUACAGAUGUUAAAGGUUCUUUAUGGAACCAUUUAGACAAAAAGGUUCUUCUACGGCAUCAUGAAGCACCUUUAUUUUUAAGAGUGUUCUCUAGAUUCCAAAGUGCAGUUUUAGGGUUGUCCAAUUUUUAAACUUAAGAAAUAUUUCUGAAAAAUGUUUAAAAAUAUGUUGAAUUCAGGGAAAUUGUAAAUUUGAGAUGACUGGGGAAAAAAUUUCCCAAUUAAUCUGAAUUAAUAUAUUUAGAUGCAUCACAGCUAUACUAAAAUAUCAAGACUUGUUCCAUAAUCUGUUUGUCUAAACAAAAUUUUUUUAUUCUCGUUUGCAGUUUUUACAAGCUUGGAUUGUUCUUCAAUGGUGGUGUCCAAAACUCUGAGAAGAUUGUUUUGUGAUGUAAAACUAAGAUAUGAAAUAAGAAGUAUUUCUGUGUGUCUAAUCAAGUAAACGUGUUUCUUUGUACAGGCGGUCAGAAGUUCUUGUUCCAUUGAAGCACAAGAUACUCACUGGAUCAUCUCAAGUCAUGCUGCAGAACCAAAAUAAUAAUCAUACAGGGAUCAUUCCAGCUUAAAGUAAGUCACUUUCUGGUUUGUUUAAGAAAAGCUUUUUCAGUCUUUGUUCCAGAUAACCAGUGAUAUCCUUAAAAAUUCAUUUCACAUGUCCAUGCGUCUCUUCUGCAGCUCUACAUAAUGUAUCACAGUGAUAACAGUUAUCAGAUAUAAAGAUGUAUAUCUGAUAUCAGAUAUAGAUUUAUCAGAUAUCAAGAACACUACUGGUAUCAAUUAACAUUUAUUAUUUUUAAAUAAUACAAUAAAUAUACUACAAAGGAACAUGGGCUUUGGUAGAGAGUUACAACAAACAUCGCUCUCUCUCCAUUUCACAAUGAAGGACAGGCCUGUUUUCAUCGGAGCACUGAGCGGAUGUAUCAUACGGCUGAUAAAAAAGAAAUGUGGCUGUGGGAAGAAACAUGAAGAGAAAGCUUAACAUUUUCAUGCAUACAGAAAAGUUUUAAUGCUUCAAAAGACAUACAAGGGUGGGUGGACACAGUAAACCUGAAUUUAUUGACACAAAACCAAUAUCUCUUCUAUCUUCUCGUACACAGGUUUGACACGACCGCAAAAACAAACAAACAAACAAACAUUACAAAGACAAAAAAACAAAACAGAAUAAACUUUAUUGGCAGCAUUACUGCUGGUUUUGAAAUUUACAGAAGAAUCGGUUGAAAUUUGUUUCGUGUCAAAACCGCAUAUUCCAUGUUGAAUCCUCUUAAAAGAAACAGUUCAAGUCAUAUUUAAUCAAAAAUUAGAGCAAGAUCUUGCAGUAGCAGGUCUAGUGGUCAAAAAGCAGAACAAAAGAGUGCAGGAAAAUGUCUAGUGGCAAAAGUUGUGAUAGAUGAAUAACAAGAUGGCUCUAGUCAAUGACAACAAAUUCUGACAGGUGAAGGAAUAUACGCUAGCGAAAUUCUGUAAUGUACAACAUACUUGAAUAAUCACACAAGACACUCUGAUUCUUGGUCUUCAAGUCUCUUAAAUUAAGAGAAAUCUCUUUGGAAGGAAAGCUGAAAUCGGCAGUCAAGUUAACUAUUCAUUCCUCUAAGCGUUUUGGUUAAAAUAUUCACAGAACCCUCCGAAAAGGUCCCAAGCUAAUUCUCCAGAGCGGUUUUAAAUGCUAAAACUUUUAGUGCGUGAAAAGGCAUUUCAUUUCCAUCGCUUCUGUUAGCUAGAGUAACACUUUACAUUACACGCGAUGCCUCAAUCACAACAGCAUUAACAGUAAUUGUGCUCCGUUUAACCAUUUCAGAUCGUGUGAAUAGAACGUUGUAAUGUAAAGUGUAAGCUAAAGCCUUUGGAGGACCAUAAAUUAUCUCCAUAUAACAAUCUGGACAUGAGGAAUGAUAACAGAAGAAAAACGUGUUCUCAUCUAUAAAUGAAUAUGAUUUUACGGCAUGCAUAAAAAUACUCCCCACCUUGGGAAGCAAAGCUAGGACUUUGACAGAAGACGUGGAACCGCUUGGGCAUCACCGCAGAGCCGUUUUCAAUUACAACAAACAAGUACAGGAAAAAAAAGGUAUAUAUUUUUAGCACCACAGACAGAAGGAAAUAGCACCUAGUUUACCGAUAUUGUGUUUCCUCAGUGUGAUGGUGUGCUCUUCUGAUACAGGGAAGCACCGAUUCAUGAACGUCAGAUCAAAGUUUCCCCUCAUACACGCGGGUCGCGAUCUCACAGACCCACGGAAGCCACUUCAACAUGACAGGUAGCAAAUUAAUGCUCACAUUACGGCUGUUUCGUACUUUUAUUGUCAUUUUGUUGUUUAAAUUACAAAAAGACGUUGUUCACAUCUGGAAUAAGACAUUUUGUUGCUGUUUUGUCGUAUUUUAAUCAUUUCCUUUAUUUUCUCUUCUUCAGAUUCACUGGAAAUUUCCUCAGGUUCUUAUUUGGGGGGAUAUUUUAUUUUGGUUUUUUUUCCAAUAACCAGCAGCUCUGUCCUUAUCGCUCAAUGGGUUCACAUGCAUGUUUUGAAGCCAGAACCAAAACAAAAAAAAACA
This is a long non-coding RNA of Onychostoma macrolepis, 4267 nucleotides long. RefSeq lists it as uncharacterized. The transcript is spliced from 2 exons. The record is from RefSeq and is a predicted model, not a curated record. Lineage: Eukaryota; Metazoa; Chordata; Actinopteri; Cypriniformes; Cyprinidae.